CCCUCCUCGCGGCCCUCCGCCGCCCUGCCCCGUGCGGCCUCGGCGUGCAUAGUCUGCGGUCCCGGGUCCCCGCCAGCCGGGGCCGCGGCCGCGCGCGCUCUGCUCCGCCCCGUGGCUCGCAGCGGCCUGCGUGGGCGCGCCGGGCCCUCCCGCCCGGCCUCCGGAGGGGCGCCCGGGCCCAGGGGGGCGCGCGCGGGGUCCGGCAGGUAUGUGUCCAGCGCAUCGUGCUUAACACGCACGGAGAAGGAACUGGGUGCCCCCCUUGUCGCCUGUUAAAGCCCAAGCACGUAGUCGCGGGGACGCAGUAACCGUACGGAAGGCUCUUCUCCAAAACGCUCUGCGGACAGACAGUACAAACAGAAGUGAGUGGAGAAGCCCCGAAGCCCUUCUCAUUCCGGAAAAAGAUUCUGGGUUUCGGUUUCUGUUGGGAUCCCGCGCUAAAGAGCAAAUUAUUCCGACACUUGUUAAAAUGGAAAGGAAGACUCUUUAGUAUUGAUGAGAUAGGUGUCAAGACUAUGGCUACAGGAGAGAUGUCUGCUCGCCCCUGAGAACAGCAGAGACAGCUGGGGUAGUACGGCCCACAGACUGGGGAGGCCAGUGGAUCAAAUUUCCUAGAGGACCAGGGGCGGGGGAUUCUUGCAGGCGAUGGGCCCGGGGAUCAGAUAGCAAGGGUGGGAUAUUCUCCCACCCAAACUGAUGUCUCAGGAUUCUUGCUACAACUGGGCUGGGUAGGCAGAUGCCUGGAGGGGCAGGGACGUGUUCAAGACAGCCGCCCAGUGGACAAGAGAGCUCAGGAGAGCCUGACCAAAAUUGGGGCGAGCAGAGAGUUUUACUUAACCUUUCAGACUGUCCCUGAGAUUUGAGGGAAAUACUUCUUUCCCCAAGUCUUGGUGGCCAUUUCUAUUGAUGUGUAUGUGAAUUCUACUUCUCUGCCGUGGGAGAGGCUACAGCGAAGCUGUGGAGGUCUUAAUACAUGAAAUAUAGUAUGACUCACAUCUUUGAAGUGUAAAUACCGUGGACCACCCACCCGAGACCGAAGACGUCCAGUCGAUGGAUGGAGAGCAUUAGUCAAACAUUGGGAGAAAGGGGGAAAUCAGACUUUUUUGUUUGUUUUAACGAGCAGUUCUUUUUUGUGUGGAACGUUAGCAUGUGAACAGCAGGCAUUAACUCAGCUCAGAUUGACUGACUUUUCCAUCUCAGUUUUUCUGGCAAUGACUGGUUGGAAUGGAGCGGUGAGGAGGGUGUCGGCAGGAGAGGGGUACCGGGCAGUGCCGGCGCCUCCCCUUACAACAAAGCAUUCAUACAGGUCAUGAGAUGACCGAAGAGAACGAUUAUGGCAGGGUUUUGGUCCCUGAGACCUGAGGUCCCCAUGUGGCUUCGACUAGGUUUUCCCCGGGAAGAGGCCUGCCAGCGGUGACCCACCUGAAUUCUUGACUGUGAGCUCUAAGCCCACCAUCAGUUACUGUCCUGGGACCCGCUUUUGCACAGGGCCGUAACUGCUGCCGAGGUGUACUUGCAGGACCCAAGUGCGAGGGUAGGUGCAGGACCCUGCAGGCGUCCAUGUUCUGCAGGUUGCGCCACCUGCGCCCGCCCGGGUGUUCUCUGCACAAGGCAGAGCUGAACCAGAUGCUGGCCGAGCUGCUCCUCAGCUCUAUCGUUCUGCGGUUGCAUUUCCUUGACGGGUCAUCUCAGCCCAAUGCCGGGUGGCUGAGGCUUGUUUUUUUGACAGUUGUGGCUUUGGUAAUUUUGUAGGAAGGAUUUCUGUUGGUAGUUGGUAAAUAAUAUGAGCAGACACCGCUGGAACCAGCACAGUAGUUUUGUGAUGAUGCUGUUGGUCUGACUCCAUCUUUCCUAUGAGCGCAGUGCCUAAGCCAUGGGGCUUCUGGAGAGCCCAGGUCCCACACGAUACCCAUAUUGAGCUGCAAUGGCUCCUGGUGAAUGCGUGUUUCUGACUGUCCGUAGCAGCUCUGUGGCCCUCGGGCCAGCAUGGCUGCCGGCCACCAUUGCUCUGUUCCUGGUCCUCAGGGACUAGAGCAGGUUGAAUCCCUCGUCGCGCUGCGCUGUGUGCCUGUGGCAGCACGCCCCGCUGCUACGUGGCACCCUGCUGAGGUCACGCGUGCAGGAUGCUCUCCAGAGCCCUCUAACUUGGCUUGGCCACCUGACAUGCUCUGCCCACUAGAACGUGGGUGCAAGUGACUACAUGUGAGUCCUGAGCAUGGGUUAUAAAAGGUCUCACAUGUUAGCACACGCACCUCGGUGAGCUUUUGUUCUCUGCCACAAAGAAGAAACAUGCCUAGGUAGUCCCUGGUCCUCCAUCCCAGGUCCAGAAUGAGACCUGUGCCACACAGCCAUCUUGUGAACAUGACAAGAGAUCAUUAUUUUGUUUUGAGCCAUUGAGUCCUGGGUGGCUGCUUAUGUAGCACUUUUGCUGUGAUGGCUGAUUGAAACAGCAGCAGUGACCUGUGGAUACAUGGUUCCCAACGUCAACCUUCAUGGGGAUGCUGUGAUGCAGUUCGGAUUCUAUUGACACAUCUUCCAGCUCGCUGAUUCUUUCCUCGGCUGUGUCCAGUCCAGUCUACAGAUGAGUCCAUCAAAAGCAUUCUUCAUUUCUUUUGCAGUUUUUUUUUUUAUUUCUAGAAGUUCUUUUUGAUUCUUUCUUAGAGUUCCCAUCUCUCUGCUGGCAUUACGCAUCUGUUAAACUUUUUCCAUUAGCGCCCUUAGCACACUAAUCAUAGUUAUUUUAAAUUCCCUGUUUCAUAAUUCCAAAAUCUCUGCCAUGUCUGAGUGUGGUUCUCACACUUACUUUGUCUCAUCAAACCAUUUUUUGCCUUUUAGCAUACCUUGUGGUUUUUGUUACAAGCCAGAUGUAAGCUAUUGGGUAAAAGGCACUGAGGGAAAUGGGCCUUUAGCACGAGGGUUUAUGUUUAUUGGGCUGGGAGUUAGGCUGUGUUUACUGUCUGCUAUAGCAGGAAAGAUUCCAGGACACCAUUCUAGAAAAAGAAAUACAAAUUUGAUUACAGUGGUGGUAGAGAUAAGCCAUUUACUUCCUUGCCCCAGGGAACCACUGCAGGGGGCCUCUACUGCAGGGGGGUGGCAGCGCUUGGCUACCCCAGCUGUGCAGAAGGUGACUGGAGAAAUACAUUUCUCUCCAGCAGCACCAGGAAUACUGAGCUGGGAUCUGUAUGAUGGUUGGGGGUGGACUGUUUUAGCUAUGAGAUGUCUUAUGUAACCUCAUGUUAACCACAGGCAAAAACUUAGAAAAUUCUAAAUUUGGAGAGAGACAGAUAAAGGAUUCCAUUCCUGUUGAGUGCACUCAGCAGGCGGUCCAUCCAUGAGCCUCUGGGAGUACCACACCCAGGGAUCUCUGUAGGACCCGCAGGCACCCCUCUUUGCCCUAAGUGCUAACCCCUCACCUCCCCCACUCUGCAGGUGGCCCCUGAGAGGCAGUGAGAGAGCUCCUGUAGACACGGAGCAUUCAGAAACAGGCCCCUGUUUGUCUUGUCUGUAGACAAGGUCUGAGAAACCACAAACUUGAAGUACUGUGCAUUCUUCUGGAAAACUAAGGUUUCCAGUAGCCAGCCUGCUGAUUGUUAAGAACCAGAGAAGACAUAAAAGCUUAAAAAUCCUGCCACAAAAGGGAGCAAGAAUUGUGGAGCAGGUGUACUAAUGCAAAGACCAAUUAAACCCCAGAUAACAGCGUCAUCAAACAGAAUAUCCCAUGUGAAAGCAACUGGCAGAGAUUUAAGGAGGUGUCUGCUACUUCAUAUGCAAAGUAACAAUGCAAAAUUACAAGGAACAUGAAAAAUAAAAAAAAGCAUAUCACAGAAAGAAAAUAAUAAUGCCAAUAACUGAGCUCAAAGGUGCAGAAUUUUGUGAUCUAGCUGACUAAUCAAAAUAGGUGCUUUGGAGAAACUCAAGGAGCUUUAAGAAAACUCAGAAAGAUAAUUCAAUAAAUUCUUGAAAAAAACAAUACAUGUCAAAAUGAAAUUUUUUUCCAAAGAGAAAUAAUAAAAAAUAACAAGAUUCUGAAUUCAGUGAGUAAGAUGAAAAAAUACAAUAGGAACCACUGCAGGAAAGCAGAGCAAAUAGAAGAUAGAAUAAGUGAGUUAGAUGAUAGGAAUUUUGAAAUAACCCAGUUAGAGGCUAAAAGAGAAAAAAGAUUACAAAACUACAAAAAAGAAAAAAAACCCUAUGUGCUCUUUGGAAUCCACAGAAAGGACCAAUGUUUAGAACAAUUGGGAUUCCAGGAGUAAAGAGAGGGAGAAAGAAACAGUUUAUUUAAAGAUAACAGCUGAGAACUUCUCAAAUGUGGGGAGAGAAUCAAACAUCUAAAUAUAUGAAACUAAUAGACUACCAUAUUUUCUCAAUGCAGAAAGACCUCUCCAAGAGACAUCAUAAAAAAACUAUCAAAAAUCAAGCAUACGGAAAGAAUUCUAAAAAGCAGCUAAGGGAUAAAAAGAUUGUAACCUGUAAAGUAACCCCCAUAGGCUAUCAGUGGAUUCUCACUAGAAAUCCUACAGGCCAGGAAAGAGUGGAAUGAUAUAUUCAAAGUGUUAAAAGAAAAUAAUUGCCAGCUAAUAAUUCUUUAUCUGGAAGUUAUCCUUCGGCUAUGAAGGAGAAAUAAAGAUUUCCUAGUUAACAAAAGCUGAAGGAGGUCAUCAGUCACCACUACAUGAGCCUCACAAGAAAUGCUGAAAGAGGUUUUUUAAGCUGAAAUGAAAAGAAGCUAAUUAGUGACAUGAAAAUUUACAAAAGUAUAUGACACACUGGUAAAGGUAAAUAUGCAGUCAGAUCUAGAAAAUCCUAAAUUUGAAAUAGGAUAGUGUGUUAACAACUUAACUAUAGUAUAAAGGUCAAAGAAUAAGAGUAUUAUAAAUAGUUAUAGCUACUAUAAUUUGUUAACAAAUAGAAAUAGAAAUAUAAAACAGGUAAUAAGGACAUAAAUAUAAAAAAGGAGUAAAAGCAUGAAACUUCUGCAAACUAUUGAAAUUAAGUUUCUAUAAGCUUAAAAGGAACUGUUUUAUCUAUGAGAUGUGUUAUGUAAACCUCAUGUUAACCACAAGGCAAAAACUUAGAGCAGCUGCACUAAAGAUAAAGGUAGAAGAAACUGAGCAGAACACCAUGGAAAAUCACCAACUCACAAAGUUAGAUGGAAACAAAGGGGAAAAGAAACAAUGGAAAUACAAAACAACCAGAAGACAAUUUAGAUGAUGUCAGUAAGCCCUCAUUUAUCAAUAAUAACUCUAAGUGUACAUGGAUUAAAUUAAUAAGGCACAGAGUGGCUGGGUGGAUUAAAAAAACAAGACCCAAUUGUAUGCUGCCUAUAAGAGACUCAGUUCAGCUUUAAAAACACACAUCGGCUUAUAGUGAAAGAAUAGGAGAAUGAUAUUCCAUGCUUUUUUUUGGUGAAAACCAAAAACAAGUGGGGAUAACCCUACUUAUAUCAGACAAAAUAGACUUUAAGCCAAAAACAGGAACAAGGACAAGGAAUGUUGUUCUAUAAUGAUAAAGAGGUCAGUGCAUCAAGGAGAUAAUGAUGAUUGUAAAUAUCAAUGUACCCAAUAUUGGAGCACCUAAAUGUACAGGCACACAUCAUUUUAUUGUGCUUCACUUUACAGCACUUCUCAGAUACUGUGUUUUUUACAAAUUGAAGCUUUGUGUCAGCUGUGCAUUGAGCAAGUCUAUCAAUGCCUUUUCCCAAUAGCAUUUGCUCAUUUUUGUCUCUGUGUGUCAUAUUUUGGUAGUUCUCACAAUAUUGCAAACUUUGUCAUUUUUAUUGAUUUGUUUUGGUGACCUCUGAUUAGUGAUUCUAAUCACUGAAAGCUCAGAUGAGAGCUAGCACUCUUUAGCAAUUUUUUUUUCUUUUUUUUAGUGUACAAGAAGCAGUGCACUUUAUUAGGGGAAUUCAGUGUGCUUGAUGGACCAAGAUGUGCUGCUCAAGAGGGAAUCAGCCUCAAGUAUUUCUUAUUAAGCAUAUUCUGGAGUGGGUAAGGCAGACCCCUGAUAAACACAAACACCGGGGGACCUCUCCUGACCAUAAAGUCUGCCAUGGAAGUAGUGUUUUUCCAAGUAGACAUACAGCUGGAUGGCUGGCGCUCUGCAUUCACUGAGGAAAUCCAAGCAGUGCCCAAAGCAGACCUGUCAGGAUUCUGAGGGGUUGGGCAACGGGGACUGCCCUCGCCCACGACAUGCAACAGAACAGAUGGAUCAGCCUCCGUGGCACAAAGGCAUGAAGCCAUUCUGCAUUUGUGUCCUGAUCAGUAUCACUAAGUGGGCCGGCGCAGCUGCCUGCUGGCCGCACUGUGUCGCCUACUGCUCGCCGCUGGAUGCCGUCCUCAUUGUAGCCGAGGACACACCAUGACAGCCCCAGUAGUAGCAGCUGUGCCCUCGUCCCGAAGUGGAACGGCCCCUUCUUUAGAUUGUUGAUGGCUGCAGUGAAGAUUCAUUCAAAUGUGGAAAACUCCUAGAGGAGCUGUAAUUGCUGGACGAUCCUGGUCACCUGGGGUAACAGACAACCCAACCCAAGUCAAGUCGGUGCCACACAUCCUAACGGCUGCGAUUACUUGGGCAACUGUGAAAUCAGAGUAUUGGCACGUAAAGGGGGAAACAUGACAUUGGGAUCCCACACUUUUGUGCUUCCCCAAUAUCAAAAGGGAGGGUGGAGCCCAAAGGCCAUAGAGAUCCCCCUUAUGACAGAAAGAAAACAGGUUCCUAGGGAUAUGUUGGUGGAAUGGAACCAAAAUACCUUGAUUAUUACUGCCAGAUCAUUGGGUAUACCUAUGGCACAAGUAUCUAUGACAGACUAUGGCCUCGUUGCCCCUCGACCAAUUACGUGUACUAUGGGAAACUGGACCAUGAGAGUUUGCACCAAGCCCCAUCUCACCCUAACCCAUUAGAAUCAAGAGAAAACUAAGGAACAGUAUGAUGCGAUGUAUAGAAAUAGAACAGAUAAUGAAUGUGACAACAGAAGGAAAAAGAUAUUCAAGGUCAAUAAAAGAUAUAGGAGCUAUUAAAAUGACUGGAGGAAUAUUUCACAUUAAACCUCCUACAAUUAAUCAAAUAAAUAUUAAUCAUACAUUAGAAAACUUAAACAAAGAACAGUUGCAAGAUGUUCUAAUAAAGUAACUAAUAAAUCAUUUAUUAUUUAUUAAUGAUAAUGUAACAAAGUCAAAAUAAGGUGGUAAGAAUUGAAAAGAGAAUAAAAGCGUUCAUUCCCUUAAAUAAUGACAGCCUUGAACUCUGAUGUUGCGGCAAUCUAACGCAGGCUUGAUAGUUUUAUGCAAGCUUAUAUCCCCUGGAGCUUUUUAAAACUGGUAUUUAUUUGGAAAUGUAAUUGUCAAGGAAGUUAAGCUUAGUGGUUUAACAAGCUUAACUUGGUCAUUUGUCGACUGGCUAUGGUACCAUGUUGAAGAGUUGUUAUGCUUUUAUUGAUAAUAUUAGGAAUAUCAGUGCUUACAAUGGUCAUUGAGCUUUGAUUUAAAAGGGUGCAUCAGAGGAAAAAUACUCCCCAAAUAAGAUGAAGUAUUGUGAUUAAGACUGUAAGUGAUGUGGAAUCACAGGGAGGGUUGAUAUUUUGGUGAACUUAGAUUUGUACAGGGUAUUAGGCCCUUAAUAUUAAUUAGUAUGUGAGUGACUUGAAAUCACAGGACAUAUUGGUCCGAUAUGAUUUCAAAUACUUAUUUAUGACAAAGACAAAAAAAAGUUAUUUUUUGAAGUGUUAAAAAACGGAAAGAUGGAGAAGGCUCAUGUGACAGGUAUCUUACCAAUGAUGAUGAGAAAAUUCCUGGCUGACUACAUUUCUGGAGAAGGUUAAGCUGUAAUCGGGUUUAAGCAUUAGGCCCUGUUGGGUGACUUAGCCCAGCAGAAGUGACCCCAUAUUGGGCCUGUGUCUUUCUUUUUAAGAGCUGUUGUUUUGAUAUCAUGUCUUAUGUUCUCACCCAGAAGAAGUCCCUAGCUCAGUUGCUGAGGGGCCCCACUGGGGGAAUAGCAAUAAAAACAUUAAAAAACGCUAA
RNA transcript from Manis javanica (Malayan pangolin), 8012 nucleotides. It is a transcript of the gene named family with sequence similarity 78 member B, with no coding region annotated. The record is from RefSeq and is a predicted model, not a curated record. NCBI's taxonomy places the organism in Eukaryota, Metazoa, Chordata, Mammalia, Pholidota, Manidae.